This 1554-nucleotide ribosomal RNA is filed under the name Minisyncoccota bacterium. Its description in RNAcentral is "bacterial SSU rRNA". It matches the Rfam family "Bacterial small subunit ribosomal RNA". The record is from RNAcentral. Lineage: Bacteria; Bacillati; Minisyncoccota.
UUUUAGUAGAGUUUGAUCCUAGCUCAGGAUGAACGCUGGCGGCGUGGAUAAGGCAUGCAAGUCGAACGGAUCUGUCCCAUGAAUUAUUGAAGGAUUUCAAGUAGUAAUACAAGAGAAACGGAUAUAAGGAUUGGGUUCGCAGAUUAGUGGCGAACGAGGUAGUAAUACACAGGAAUCUCCCCCCGAGUCAUGAAUAACCCAUCGAAAGAUGGACUAAUACAUGAUGGUCUCGCAAGAGUAAAGAAUUUCGCUCGGAGAAGAGCCUGUGCAGUAUCAGCUAGUUGGUAGUGUAAUGGACUACCAAGGCUAUGACGCUUAGGGGAGCUGAGAGGCUGACCCCCACCGAGGGAACUGAGACACGGUCCCUACACCUACGGGUGGCUGCAGUCGAGAAUCUUCCACAAUGGACGAAAGUCUGAUGGAGCGACGCCGCGUGAUGGACGAAGUCCUUAGGGACGUAAACAUCUUUUAUGAGGGAAGAAUUUUAUUGACGGUACCUCAUGAAUAAGGGGCUCCCAAUCUCGUGCCAGCAGGAGCGGUAAUACGAGAGCCCCGAGCGUUAUCCGGAAUCAUUGGGCGUAAAGGGUGUGUAGGCGGUUGUAUUAGUCUUCUGGUAAAUCUCCGGGCUUAACUCGGAACCAUUGGAGGAAACGGUACGACUAGAAUAUGUGAGAGGUGUACGGAACUCUACGUGUAGGGGUGAAAUCCGUUGAUAUGUAGGGGAACACCAAAAGCGAAAGCAGUACACUAGCGCAUUAUUGACGCUCAAACACGAAAGCGUGGGUAGCGAAUGGGAUUAGAUACCCCAGUAGUCCACGCCCUAAACGAUCUUCUCUAGCCAUUCGGAGUAUCGACCCUCUGAGAGGCGAAGCUAACGCGUUAAGAGAAGCGCCUGGGAAUUACGGCCGCAAGGCUAAAACUCAAAGGAAUAGACGGGGACUUGCACAAGCGGUGGAUUGUGUGGCUUAAUUCGUCGGUAAACGUAAAACCUCACCAGGGUUUGAAACCUAACUGUAAGCUCUCAGAAAAGGGAGCCCUCGCAAGACUGUUAGGCAGGUGCUGCAUGGUCGUCGUCAGUUCGUGGCUUGAGUUGUUCCCUUAAGUGGGGAAACGAACGCAACCCUCAUCGUGUGUUAUAUUUGUCACGCGAGACCGCCCAGCCCAAUGUAUAUGAUUUUUUCGUAUAUAUCGGGCUGGGAGGAAGGAGAGGAUGACGCCAGAUCCGCAUGGCCCUUUGAUACCCUGGGCUGCACACGCAAUACAAUGGUUACUACAACGCGAGGCAAUGGAGCGAUCCGGAGCAAAUCGUAAUAAAAGUAGCCCCAGUUCGGAUUGCAGUCUGAAACUCGACUGCAUGAAGUUGGAAUCGCUAGUAAUCGCGGGUCAUCAUACCGCGGUGAAUACGUUCUCAAGUCUUGUACUCACCGCCCGUCAAGUCAAGGGAGCCGGGAGUACCCGAAGGCUCACAUUUGUGGGACUACGGUAAGCUCGGUGACAGGGACUAAGUCGUAACAAGGCACGGGUAGCGGAAGCUGUUCGUGGAUUAAUUCAAAC